GACGAACGCUGGCGGCGUGCCUAAUACAUGCAAGUCGAGCGAAUCUUGAGGUGCUUGCACCUCUUGGUUAGCGGCGGACGGGUGAGUAACACGUGGGCAACCUGCCUGUAAGACUGAGAUAACUUCGGGAAACCGGAGCUAAUACCGGAUAAUCCUUUUCCUUUCAUGAGGAAAAGCUGAAAGUCGGUUUUUCGCUGACACUUACAGAUGGGCCCGCGGCGCAUUAGCUAGUUGGUGAGGUAACGGCUCACCAAGGCGACGAUGCGUAGCCGACAUGGAAGGGUGAUCGGCCACACUGGGACUGAGGCACGGCCCAGACUCCUACGGGGGGCAGCAGUAGGGAAUCUUCCGCAAUGGACGAAAGUCUGACGGAGCAACGCCGCGUGAGCGAUGAAGGCCUUCGGGUCGUAAAGCUCUGUUGUUAGGGAAGAACAAGUAUCGGAGUAACUGCCGGUACCUUGACGGUACCUAACCAGAAAGCCACGGCUAACUACGUGCCAGCAGCCGCUGUAA
RNAcentral lists this ribosomal RNA (513 nucleotides) under uncultured bacterium. Its description in RNAcentral is "partial 16S ribosomal RNA". It matches the Rfam family "Bacterial small subunit ribosomal RNA", at positions 28 to 523 of the family's 1533-position model. The record is from RNAcentral.